Molecule: long non-coding RNA, 4997 nt
Filed under: Sus scrofa (pig)
Lineage: Eukaryota; Metazoa; Chordata; Mammalia; Artiodactyla; Suidae
Description: lncRNA (ENSSSCG00040034997.1)
Source: RNAcentral
UUUUUUUUUUUUGGCUGUGGUGUACAGCAGCCUGAUGUGGGAUCUUAGCUCUUAGACCAGGGAUUGAACCCAGGCCACAGCAGUAAAAGCGCUGAAUCCUAACCACUAGACCAACAGGGAGCUCCCAAAAUAACAAUUUUUUAUAAGUAAAAUUAAACACCAGUUCUAAAUAAGAUCCCAGUAUCUUUCCCCUUUCAUCUCAUUGUCCAAAUCAAGACAUAGAACUAACCCUCUGCAGCACGACAAGCUGGGGUAGUAUCUGACAGUUAUCAACCUUUGUUGCCUUUGUGGAGAAGUAACCUACAAAAGGAAAAGGGGGAGGGGGACGGCUGCCGGGAAGGCAACCAGCAAUGUCUGUUUCAGUCCUGCACAGGCAGCAUGAGAUACUGAAAAAGGCACUGACCCAAAGACUAGUCUUCCAAAAGCAUCUGCCCAUCAAGCUGCCUCAUUUCUUUAGCUGAGAACUUAAGAAUCUGGGCAAUCCAAGAGAAAGAGCUAACUCUAGGUGUGGAGGAUAAAAUGCACAAGAAUAGGCUAGAAAUUCAAAGACUCCUGGGAUCAUGUCAGAAGAUCUAUAGAGCCAAUUUGUAAGUCUGCCCAUGGGCCAAAGAUGGGACAAUUUAAGCAACAAAUGACCAUAACAGGAAACUUGUACACAGCUUGAUUUCUUCAACAAUAAACACACACACACACACACACACACACACACGAGAACCAAAGGAAGAGAUCUAGAGAGGAAAAGAGACUGAAAAUAUGUAUCAAUCAAAUUCAAUGCAGAGACUCUGGGUCCUAAAUCAAAAAAGUCUGGGUUCUAUUUUUUCUUUAUGGAUGACAAUAUAAUCAGAGAAGUAUGAAUACUGACAGGAUAUUUGAUGACAUUAGGAAUUACGUAAUUUUAUUGAUUAGGUAAUUUAUUUAGCUAUUUUUCUCAGGUAGUAAGGAUAUCUAGAAUAUGUCUACUAUUGGAUGCUUAACAAGAUUCCUUAUCUUUUAAAGAUAUAUAUUAUUUGCAGAUAAAAUGACGUCUCUAGGAUUUACUUCCAAAUAAUCCAGUGAGGAAGAGGAACUGAAUACAUCAGACUCAUACUAUUGUACUUUUGAAUAGUUAAUAGUUUCUAUAAUGAAUGUUUCUAAAACCCCAGGGACAUGGGAGGAACAACCCCAUGUUAGAACAAUCCCAUCCCAGAGCUAGAGGUCUCUUAUCUAGGGGUCCCUUCUGGUUCUGGUUUUCUGUGACCUGGCAUGAAGGUACUAACUGUUAUUACCUGUACUAAUUAGGACAUUUCAUGAUGAAAUUAAAUAAAGAAUGGUGUCCAAACUAAUAAGCUAGCUGAUUUUAUAACCUUUAGUUCAUGUCAAAAUUAACAUAGGAGAAAGAGAAUCAUGAACCUAUGGUUUUUCUUUUUUCAAACUGCAUAUAUCAACCCACUAGUGGGUUAUGAAAUCACCUUAAAAGAUAAUAAAACAAGGACUGUUUAAUAACUGGAAUGGAAGAGAUUGGAAUGGAAAGAAAAGGAAAGGCAAGGAAAAGAAUGAAAUGGUAAAUAAUACAUUCCUUAUAGUAUAUGUAGUAUUGCGUCAUGAAAUUUCAGUUUUUUACAUUUGUAUGUACAUGGGGUGACUAUGUAAAAACGUUAUUUCCUAAUGGGAACAUAACACAUAGCAUCAGUUUUGUGGUAUUUUACUCAGUAUGAACAAUGCUAAGAACAGACUUAAUAACACAGUAUUUACAAAACCACUGAAGUUUUCAGUAUUUUAAGUUGUACCUUACCUGCUUAAAACUAAAGUCUCCUCCUGUCUGUUGCCACUGAUUUUUGCCAUUUCAAAUGUUCCUAAGUCCAUUUUGCAGACAUCAGAGAAGGAAAAUCAUAAUCUCUGAAGAUAAUGGUUAUAAUAUAUAAUAGCUCUAACAAUUCUAAUAUCAUGAAACAUAGCAUUAAGCCCCAAUUCAGAAUAUAAACUCUUGGUGAAAAUAAAGAACAGGGUUUUUCUAAAUUCCCUUAGCUUUCUCUUAUUUUAUCAAUAAGUAUUUAAUUUUCCUCUGAAUUGCAUAAUCUAAAUUUUUCUUUUAUCCCACUCAGGGUAAAGUUUAAAAUUAUCUGAUGAGGUGUUCCUGUCGGGGCUCAGUGGUUAACAAAUCUGACUAGUAUCCAUGUGGACACAGGUUGAUCCCUGGCCUCGCUCAGUGGGUUAAGGAUCCGGCGUUGCCAAGAGCUGUGGUGGAGGUAGCAGACGUGGUUCAGAUCUGGUGUUGCAGUGGCUGUGGCGUAGGCGGGCAGCUAUAGCUGCGAUUAGACCCCUAGCCUGGGAACCUCCACAUGACAAGGGUGCGGCCCUAAAAUGACAAAAAGACAAAAGAAAAAAAAAUUAUCUGAUGAGAGUUGGGCAAAAAAAGGAGAAAGGAAUCCUGUAUUUAUUGUUAUGGUACAGUUUAAUUUACCCUUGUAAGAAUUUUUUUUUUUAAUUUCAGUGAGUCCUGCUGACUUAUGAUCAACUUGUUAGACACUGAACCCAGUAUCUCUUUUCUCUUGUUUGCAUAUCUUCUUUGCCUUUCAUUUAUAGGUUUAUUUGUAUGGCCAGAGAAUAAAAUCCCUUUUUUUCCCUACUGAACGUCAUUUUAUUUCUAACUUUUAAACCAUAAUCUAAGAUCCAAAAUAUGAUUUGCUGGAGUUCCUGUCAUGGCUCAAUGGUUAACAAAUCUGACUAGGAACCAUGAGGUUGCGGGUUCGAUCCCUGGCCUCGCUCAGUGGGUUAAAUUUGGCGUUGCCAUGAACUGUGGUGUAGAUCACAGAUGCAGCUCGGAUCCCAAGUUGCUGUGGCUAUGGCAUAGGCCGGUGGCUACAGCUCUGGUUAGAUCCCUAGCCUGGGAACCUCCAUAUGUUGCAGGUUGCAAAUGCGGCUCGGAUCCCGCGUUGCUGUGGCUCUGGCGUAGGCUGGUGGCUACAGCUCUGAUUAGACCCCUAGUCUGGGACUCUCCAUAUGCCGUGCGUGCAGCCCUAGAAAAAAGGCAAAAAGACAAAAAAAAAGUACACAACAAGAAAGUGUAGGAGCGUAGGAGCGGAAUUCCCGUCACAGUGCAGCCGAAAUGAAUCUGACUAGGAACCAUGAGGUUUCGGGUUCGAUCCCUGGCCUUGCUCAGUGGAUUAAGGAUCUGGCGUUGCCGUUAGCUUCGAUGUACAUCGCAGACGAGGCUCGGAACCCACAUUGCUAUGGCUAUGGCUUAGGCAAAAGCAAAAAAAAAAAAAAGAAAGAAAGAAAAAAGAAAGUGUAGGAGUAACCUUUGUAUCUUGACAGCCUGACUCCACGGCCCUCACUCUUAACCACCUGAGUUUAAGGCUAUUAGUGAUAGCUUAGCGGAAGGCAUCAAAGAAAAAUAGGUUUAUCCAGCUCUUUGUUUACUGAAUCAGUGAAGUUUACAUCUUUAAAAGCAAGUUUAUAACCACAAUUAAAUUCCUAAAGCAUGGAAUUCCCUGGCAGUUCAGCUGUUGAAGUACCCGCAGUGUUGUCACCGCUAUGGUGCAGGUUUAAUCCCUGGCCGCGGAACUUCCUCAUGCCAGGGGCACAGAAAGCAAGAAAAUUUUAAAUCGUAUUUUUUACAUGAAAAGAGUCAGGAGAAUUUUUAAAACCUGAAGAUUAGAGAGAAAAAAUAAACUGCUCAGAAACCUAUUUUAACACAACCAUAUGAAUUUUGGUGACAAAUCACAUAAAAUAUUAACACAAUUGUAAACAAACAGCACAUAUAUUUUCCCCCUACUUCAUCACUUUGCAUUUUGUACAGGAAACGUUCCCUAUAACAGUUUUCAGAAAUAUUAUUUUCAUAAUAUAUAAUUGCAUACUAUGUAAUCUAAAGGCAUUAGUAUAGCUUAUUCAACCACUCCCAAAUGGGCACUGAGGUUUGCCCCUAGGCUUUUUUACUAUCUAAAAACACUGUGACACACAUAUUUAUGAAUAAAAUGUCUUUCCACAAGUAAAACCAUAUCCUUAUAUUAGAAACUCCAUGAGUGGCUUUACCCCCUGCAUGAGCAUUGCUGAAGAUCCCAACAAACUCUAUUCUGAAAGACUAUAACAGUACAUUGUCAGAAGCGACAUAGAUAUGACAAUAAAAUCAUUGAGUAUUAUUUUUAAAAGAUAUUGCUAAUCUAAUAAGUUAUAAUCACAUUUUAAUCAUCUGCAUUUGCACAAUCAUAUUUGCAUUCUUUGAUACCUAUGAAUUUUAACUAAUUACCAUAUUUUUUUUUACUGAGUUUAUCUUUUAUAUCCUUUGCUCGGCACCAAUUAUUUUUGAUUAUUGGGGACAAAUAUUUGCCUUAAGUCCUUUUACAAUAAAAUUUGGGGAGUUCCCGUCGUGGUGCAGUAGUUAAUGAAUCUGACUAGGAACCUUGAGGUUGCGGGUUCAAUCCCUGGCCUUGCUCAGUGGGUUAGGGAUCCGGCGUUGCCGUGAGCUGUGGUGUAGGUCGCAGACGUGGCUCGGAUCUCUAGUUGCUGUGGCUGUGGCGUAGGCCGGUGGCUACAGCUCCGAUUCAACCCCUAGCCUGGGAACCUCCAUAUGCCGCAGGAGCGACCCAAGAAAUGGCAAAAAGACAAAAAAAAUAAAUAAAUAAAAUAAAAUACAAUUUGGACAAUGCAUUACAGGUUUCCCCAAUUAAUUACAGAGAAGAUAAAGAACACAAUUUACUUUUUUUAAAUUGACUCAAAAUAAUCACUUACUAUACCAAGUACUGAGAUUCAAUAUUUGAUACACAUUUUUCUGUUAAAAAAUUGUUUUCAGCUAAGUCUCAAUUUUUUAAAAUACUUAAAAUUUGAAGUAUUUUUAAUAUACAACUUAAUAGUAUUAGCUACUGAAUAAGUAAAAAAAAUAAGUUCUCAUAUCUUUAAAAUUUCCAAUAAUUAAAAGGUUAGAAUUAGAAUUCUGUGUGAGGUGAAAAUAAGGAUUAUAAUAAUUUCAAUACAAGGAGAACUGAAUGCCACACUUAGAUAUGUGACUUCAAAAAAAAAAA